Molecule: ribosomal RNA, 350 nt
Filed under: uncultured rumen bacterium
Lineage: Bacteria
Description: partial 16S ribosomal RNA
Source: RNAcentral
UAUUCCCCACUGCUGCCUCCCGUAGGAGUCUGGUCCGUGUCUCAGUACCAGUGUGGGGGACCUUCCUCUCAGAACCCCUACGCAUCGCCGCCUUGGUGGGCCGUCGCCCCGCCAACCAGCUAAUGCGCCGCAUGCCCAUCCCGUACCGCCGGAGCUUUCCCCCCGGGAGGAUGCCCUCUCGGGGACUACGGGGUAUUAGACCAAAUUUCUCUGGAUUAUCCCCCUGUACGGGGCAGGCUGCAUACGUGUUACUCACCAGUGCGCCGGUCGCCAUCAGGCAUAUUGCUAUGCCCAUGCUGCCCCUCGACUUGCAUGUGUUAAGCCUGCCGCCAGCGUUCAUCCUGAGCCAA